This is a long non-coding RNA of Equus caballus (horse), 2214 nucleotides long. NCBI's taxonomy places the organism in Eukaryota, Metazoa, Chordata, Mammalia, Perissodactyla, Equidae. The record is from Ensembl.
GCAAAAUUGAGUGGACAGUACUAAGAGUUCCCAUACGCCCUCUGUCCCCAUACUAUCCCACAGCCACAUACUAUCCUAAUUUUAAUAAUAUAUUUUAUUUAACCCAAUAUAUAAAAUUAUUAUUAUUUCAACAUUAAUCAAUAUAAAAAUCAUUAAUGAGGUAUUUUACCUUUUUUUCCGCUGUAUACUGCUUUAGUUUUUACAGUUUAAAAUGUGGCCCUAGCCAUGUUUCAAGUGCUCAACAGCCACAUGUGGCUAGUGGCCACCUAUUAGUGCAGAAGAGAAUCAGAUGUUCCAAGGAACAUAGUUUAGGAAAUGCUGGUCUAGCCACACCUGCCCAUCACACAGAUGAAGCUGUGGAGCGAGGAACGUUGGAAGUGACUCUCCUGACAUAGAGACCCAAGUAGCGUCAGAGGUGAGAUCAACACACAAGAGUAGUUCUUGCCACUACACUGUGACUCAAACAUAAAUCUUCUCCUUUGUAGGAGGGAGAAUUCCACCUUCCUUCCUGUGCCCUGCAGGAGAACUCUCUUCUGUUCCUUUGACUUGAAUUAGAAUGGGGCUUAGCCUAGGGCCAGGAGUCCUGAGCCUGCAGUGACUAUCCCCAGCCUUUCAUUCUGCUAUAGUUCUCGAAUCUCUGUGCUGUCUUAAGAUUUGCACAGUAUCCAUUCUUAGUCAGCUUAGGUGUAUCUUUCAGGCCAUAGUGUACUGGGGUCCCUAACCGCAGGGUCAUUGGUCACUGGGGUUCUGGAAUGCAGAGGACAAGAGGAGUCUUCUGUUCAUCACCCAUUCAACAAAUACUCAUUGACCACCCAACAACGUGAUGUGUUCCAGGCCCUGGGGACAUAUCAAUGAACAAGCCAAGUCCUUGACCUCUGGAAUUUAGAUUCCAGUGGUGGGAGACAGACAAAACACAAAUAUGUAAAUAGAUGGCACAUCAGGUAGGAAUAAGCUUUACUGAGAGAAGAGAAAAUAAGGGUAAACAGGAGUAAGGAAUGGAGCAAACAUCCGAGAAAACUGCUUAUAAUAUUUUGGUCAAUAAGAUAGGAAAAUAUUGAGGAAGAGAUACAGAUGUUGAAGAAAGACAAGAUGCUGGAGGAAGACAAGACUGGUUGACAGGAAACAUACAACGAAAAAAUAUUCUUUAGGAUAAGAAUAAGCUAAAGAGAAAGGAAUGCUCUUUUCAUUUAACGGCCACAGCAUGAGUCCUCAUUCAGAGAAAGACAAGAACUGGAGCAGAGCACAGCAUGGAAGAAAAGCAGGACGAGGGUCUGCAAUUCAUCUCUUACGUCUGACGUGUUGUGGUGGAAAGAACAACAGUGAUGUAGUGAUUUUACACCUAUUCCGAUUCUUAUAUUUUAGAUCUUGAACACUUGUAUAAAUUUUAAGCAAAGCCAAAAAAUAUGCAAAAGGAAAAGAGCACAUCUUUAUAUUUUUGGAGAAAUAAUAGAGGUGCCAAAACAUAUGCUCUCAAUUAGAUUUUAAUAAAUCCAAUUACACUUUAAUCAAAUCCAUUUGUGUUUUAAAGACCUGAAAUCUGUAAAACCAUUGAAUAGGGUAUCCUACUAUUUAUAACGUAAUGAUUUAUACUUUUAAUUGACUUCAGAACAUGGGGUUAUUUUAUUUGGUCUCUGAAGAGUUUCUCCACCCUGGGUCCAGAAGAAAAGCACAACUAGAAACCACAGCUGAUUACAUAACAGAAAAUUCCAGCGAGGUACAAAUCUGAUCCUCACUUUUAGUCUGGUUUUCUUUGUUUAUUUGUUUUUAAAUGAAAGCACAUAUAAUUUUUGAAUUAUGAUUAGCUUUUUUGUUUUUCCCUUUUGGAAAGCUAUCAGUAACAGUUUUUUCAGGACCGAAGCAUAAAGGAAUGUGGGGAAAGGAUUGACCUUUUUCUCAUUGUCUGGAACCUUCAAGAAUGCAAAACUGAGAUAUUAUAGUCUCAGUUAAGCUAUUCAUUGUUACCAGUUGGUAAAAUGUAAUACCGUUUAUGUUGAAUUUCUGCAACCAUGGAAAGUACUGACAAGAAUUGCUUUUACAUAAAAAAAAAUAAAGUCUAGAUCAGAAAUGAAACAUAGAUUAGAAGAACACUAUACAUCAUUCUUCCAGACCUGCUCUGUCCAAUACUGUGGCCACUCACCAUAGGUGGCUAUUGAGUGCUUGAAAUGCAGCGUCAGGUAAGAAAAACAUCCUCUAACCUCUUAGGUUCAGUACCUG